AGUACGGAAUAACUGCGGGAAACUGUAGCUAAUACCGUAUACUCCAGUAAUGGGAAAGAUUUAUCGCUAUAAGAUUGGCCCGCGCAAGAUUAGCUUGUUGGUGAGGUAAAAGCUCACCAAGGCUUCGAUCUUUAGCUGGUUUGAGAGGACGAUCAGCCACACUGGGACUGAGACACGGCCCAGACUCCUACGGGAGGCAGCAGUAGGGAAUAUUGGACAAUGGGGGCAACCCUGAUCCAGCAAUGCAGCGUGAGUGACGAAGGCCUUAGGGUUGUAAAACUCUUUCAUCGGUGAGGAUAAUGACAGUAGCCGAAGAAGAAGGACCGGCUAAUUCCGUGCCAGCAGCCGCGGUAAUACGGAAGGUCCUAGCGUUGUUCGGAAUUACUGGGCGUAAAGCGCAUGUAGGCGGAACAGAAAGUUAGAAGUGAAAUCCCUGGGCUCAACCUAGGAAUUGCUUUUAAAACUUCUGUUCUGGAAUUCAGGAGAGGAAAAUGGAAUUUCCAGUGUAGAGGUGAAAUUCGUAGAUAUUGGAAGGAACACCAGUGGCGAAGGCGAUUUUCUGGACUGAUAUUGACGCUGAGAUGCGAAGGCAUGGGUAGCAAACGGGAUUAGAUACCCCGGUAGUCCAUGCAGUAAACGAUGGGUGCUAGUCGUCGGACUUUUGUUCGGUGUCGUAGCUAACGCGUUAAGCACCCCGCCUGGGGAGUACGGUCGCAAGAUUAAAACUCAAAUAAAUUGACGGGGACCCGCACAAGCAGUGGAGCAUGUGGUUUAAUUCGACGCAACGCGAAGAACCUUACCAGCGUUUGACAUGGAAAGUGCCGGUUACAGAAUGGUAACCUUCAGUUCGGCUGGCUUUCGCACAGGU
RNAcentral lists this ribosomal RNA (868 nucleotides) under marine metagenome. Its description in RNAcentral is "bacterial SSU rRNA". It matches the Rfam family "Bacterial small subunit ribosomal RNA", at positions 135 to 1039 of the family's 1533-position model. The record is from RNAcentral.